UUAUAAGUGUGAAUUAUUAAGUUAAAAAACUAUAAAUCAAAGUUUCAUGGUAUUUAAGUACUUAUUUUGUGAGAUAUGAAGAAAUUAGCAUGCAAGUAUAUAUAAGCUAGGGUUUAAAGCUACUGUUAGGAUUUUGGCAAUAUCUCAAGAUUCAUAAUGAAUUUGUAGUUGUAUUUUUUUUGUGGAAGUUUUUGAAAAUAUAUCAGUACUUUAUGUAAAAUUAAAGAUUGUUUGGAUGGUCCGAUCAUGAGAUAUGAGCUAUUGAAGUUCAGAAAAUAUACCUCAUAAGGAUAUAUAAGGUUUUAAGUUACUUUAUCAUAUAUUUAGGUAUUUUCUUGGUACUUGGAUUAAUGUUUUUAUGUAAUUUAUCAAAAAAAAAAAAAUAUUAUAUGUAUAAUUUUGGUUUUUAGAUCUUAGACUUGAUUGAGUAUUUAGUGGUAGCCAGAAGCCCAGUGCUUUCUUG
This 463-nucleotide long non-coding RNA is filed under the name Physcomitrium patens. RNAcentral describes it as "long non-coding RNA (PPAT_LNC004345)". The record is from RNAcentral. Lineage: Eukaryota; Viridiplantae; Streptophyta; Bryopsida; Funariales; Funariaceae.